GUCGGGGUAGCUCAGUUGGUAGAGCAUGGGACUCAUAAACCCAAGGUCGGCGGUUCAAUCCCGCCCCCCGACA
This 73-nucleotide transfer RNA is filed under the name Parcubacteria group bacterium. RNAcentral's name for it is "tRNA-Met". It matches the Rfam family "tRNA". From Rfam's summary of the family: Transfer RNA (tRNA) molecules are approximately 80 nucleotides in length. RNAcentral also lists the same sequence under 2 other names. The record is from RNAcentral.